GGGUGUGUCCCAAGAUCCACCGGGCGCCUUCUAAGCGCUUGGCCGCAGGUUCGAGUCCUGCCGGGG
Molecule: transfer RNA, 66 nt
Filed under: Streptomyces sp. V3I7
Lineage: Bacteria; Bacillati; Actinomycetota; Actinomycetes; Kitasatosporales; Streptomycetaceae
Description: tRNA-Arg
Source: RNAcentral